RNAcentral lists this transfer RNA (49 nucleotides) under Aneides aeneus. RNAcentral's name for it is "tRNA-Ser". The record is from RNAcentral. Lineage: Eukaryota; Metazoa; Chordata; Amphibia; Caudata; Plethodontidae.
CGAGAAGAAUAUAAACAGAAACUGCUAAUUAUCUGCACCAUGGUUAAAC